This 385-nucleotide ribosomal RNA is filed under the name uncultured bacterium. RNAcentral describes it as "bacterial SSU rRNA". It matches the Rfam family "Bacterial small subunit ribosomal RNA", at positions 29 to 417 of the family's 1533-position model. The record is from RNAcentral.
AUUGAACGCUGGCGGAAUGCUUUACACAUGCAAGUCGAGCGGCAGCGCGGGGGCAACCUGGCGGCGAGCGGCGAACGGGUGAGUAAUGUAUCGGAACGUGUCCUUGAGUGGGGGAUAGCCCGGUGAAAACCGGAUUAAUACCGCAUACGCAGGAGACUGGAAAGCGGGGGAUCGCAAGACCUCGCGCUCUAGGAGCGGCCGAUAUCCGAUUAGUUUGUUGGUGAGGUAAAGGCUACCAAGGCGAUGAUCGGUAGCUGGUCUGAGAGGAUGAUCAGCCACACUGGGACUGAGACACGGCCCAGACUCCUACGGGAGGCAGCAGUGGGGAAUUUUGGACAAUGGGGGCAACCCUGAUCCAGCCAUUCCGCGUGAGUGAAGAAGGCCU